Molecule: long non-coding RNA, 1762 nt
Filed under: Gossypium barbadense (sea-island cotton)
Lineage: Eukaryota; Viridiplantae; Streptophyta; Magnoliopsida; Malvales; Malvaceae
Description: long non-coding RNA (GBAR_LNC014413)
Source: RNAcentral
UUUAAGGUUGUUUUCUAAUGUUUAUAGUGAAUAGCAUCCACAGAAACAAGUAAAAACAUGUACUGUCAAUGGCUAUAUUGAAUAAAAAGAAAAAAAGAAUUGGAGACAACAAAGGUAGACAAGAGAGUUCAACCAUGGAUAAACCAUACAUUCAAGCAAAAGUAAUAAUUCAUCAUAAUAAUAUAUAGUCACUAAGAAACAAGUUUGAUAAUCCUUAAAAGAGAGACCAAAAUCUAUAAUUGCUUGGCUGGAGACAGUAAUAAACAAUUCAGCUCUCUGCAACAUUUGAUUUACUAUAUAAUCCAUCUCUUAUAUCUAUAACUUGAAACAGAUUAAAAUGUUGCCCAUAUCUUCCUCUGUACCUGUUAAAAACCAAAAUAUAUCAAUCAUUGCAUUGGUCCAAUUCAGGGAGAUUUUGAUUAAGUAGCAAAGGUACCUUUAUAAGUAUAUAUCCUGAUUGGCAAACAAGUAUUAGUAAUAUAGAGACCCUGUAGAAAUAACAAACAUGUUAAACCUUUGAAUUGGAAUGUUUUUGUCCAAAUAGGCAAUUAUACAAUACCUAGCCAAAUUCGAGAUUGUCAUCACUAAACAACCUCUACUUCAUCAUGAGUACUGCAACAUGGUAUCAAAGCUAAGUAAUGAUUUACCUAGAAGCUUGGUCAGCUAGUUUUAUGACUCAAACAUAAGCAGAAAUUAGUAGCGUUUAUCUAACGUUUAUGCCUCAAGACCAGGCUAAAAAGGAUGACCAGAACCCUAUUGUUAUUGAUGAACAUGGUAAGUACUCAAACCAUAAACAAAUUGGUAUAAUGAUAUUUCCUUGAAAGGCUCACUAAAUUGCCUGAUGGUAUUUUACAGCAAAGUUGGCAUGAUCAAUUCUGCCCAGAAAUUGUUUGACAAAAUGCUAGAACUAAAAUGUCGUCCUACUAUAUUAAAUUGUAGAACUAAAAUGCUAGAACUAAAAUGCCAGAAAUUGUUCGACAUUUAGCCCUUCUUCUUCAAGUGUUCUUUACUAGUCCAUUACAGAAAACAAAAGCAUAAAAAAUCAGCAUUGUAACAACAAACGAGAGGUGAAUUCAUUCUAAAAGUUGAAAAGUAAAGAGAUUUUGAAUGGGAGAAGAAAUAAAAAUAUGGGUUUUGAAUGGGAGAAGAAAAUCUCCCAAAGAGAAGCACCAGUGGUAGAGAAGAGAAGAAAAUAUACAAAAGAAAUAUUGAUAAAAAUCAAUCCCAUAAUAAAGACAAACAAAAAUAUACAGAAGAAGAAAAGAAAAAGAUAAACUCACCGGUGGUGGAGAAGAGGAACAAAGAACCAGAGACUUCUUAAGUGGAGAAGAGGAACAAAGAACCAGCGAUGAAAAAGAAUAAAGAACCAGUGAUUAAGAGAUGAAAUCAAAGUGCUUUCUGGAUGAAAAUAAAGAACCAGCGUUGUGUUUGGCUAAAAAAAGUAAAAUACCAGCCCAAAAGCACUUUUUGGCUAAAAAAGCUAAGAAAUUCUGCUUUUUCAUAUGCCCAAAAGCACUUCAAAUAAGUUGAAAAUUUGCUAUCACUGAAGUCUGUUCUUUAUUGCUUUUUAGAGAAAACUAUUUUUACAUGCGAAAGCUCAUCUGAAAAGCAUUAAAGAACACAGCAUCGUUUGGGAAUUUUGUUAAACACGUGGUGUACAAGGAUUUUAGUUAAAAAAUUUAAGAAAAGGUUUAGGAAAAGCAAACCCCCUGCAUCAAAACACAAAUUUUAUAGUACAUAUCAACCCAAUAAUCCAUUAAGA